AUAAAAUGAUUUCAAUAAUUGAUUUUUCAUUUACAAUGAAAGUUUGUAUUUAAUA
This 55-nucleotide transfer RNA is filed under the name Allothyrus sp. LamingtonNP-QMS95173. Its description in RNAcentral is "tRNA-Val". The record is from RNAcentral. Lineage: Eukaryota; Metazoa; Arthropoda; Arachnida; Holothyrida; Allothyridae.